AUUGAAUGCUGGCGGCAGGCCUAACACAUGCAAGUCGAGCGGAUGAAGGGAGCUUGCUCCUGGAUUCAGCGGCGGACGGGUGAGUAAUGCCUAGGAAUCUGCCUGGUAGUGGGGGAUAACGUCCGGAAACGGGCGCUAAUACCGCAUACGUCCUGAGGGAGAAAGUGGGGGAUCUUCGGACCUCACGCUAUCAGAUGAGCCUAGGUCGGAUUAGCUAGUUGGUGGGGUAAAGGCCUACCAAGGCGACGAUCCGUAACUGGUCUGAGAGGAUGAUCAGUCACACUGGAACUGAGACACGGUCCAGACUCCUACGGGAGGCAGCAGCGGGGAAUAUUGGACAAUGGGCGAAAGCCUGAUCCAGCCAUGCCGCGUGUGUGAAGAAGGUCUUCGGAUUGUAAAGCACUUUAAGUUGGGAGGAAGGGCAGUAAGUUAAUACCUUGCUGUUUUGACGUUACCAACAGAAUAAGCACCGGCUAACUUCGUG
This 484-nucleotide ribosomal RNA is filed under the name uncultured bacterium. Its description in RNAcentral is "partial 16S ribosomal RNA". It matches the Rfam family "Bacterial small subunit ribosomal RNA", at positions 30 to 507 of the family's 1533-position model. The record is from RNAcentral.